AUUGAACGCUGGCGGCAUGCCUUACACAUGCAAGUCGAACGGCAGCACGGACUUCGGUCUGGUGGCGAGUGGCGAACGGGUGAGUAAUGCAUCGGAACGUGCCAUUGAGUGGGGGAUAACGUAGCGAAAGUUGCGCUAAUACCGCAUAUUCUGUGAGCAGGAAAGCAGGGGACCGCAAGGCCUUGCGCUCUUUGAGCGGCCGAUGUCAGAUUAGCUAGUUGGUGAGGUAAAGGCUUACCAAGGCGACGAUCUGUAGCGGGUCUGAGAGGAUGAUCCGCCACACUGGAACUGAGACACGGUCCAGACUCCUACGGGAGGCAGCAGUGGGGAAUUUUGGACAAUGGGGGCAACCCUGAUUCAGCCAUGCCGCGUGAGUGAAGAAGGCCUUCGGGUUGUAAAGCUCUUUCGGCCGGGAAGAAAUCGCAUGGGCUAAUACCCUGUGUGGAUGACGGUACCGGAAUAAGAAGCACCGGCUAACUACGUGCCAGCAGCCGCGGUAAUACGUAGGGUGCGAGCGUUAAUCGGAAUUACUGGGCGUAAAGCGUGCGCAGGCGGUUUUGUAAGACAGGCGUGAAAUCCCCGGGCUUAACCUGGGAACUGCGCUUGUGACUGCAAGGCUAGAGUACGGCAGAGGGGGGUGGAAUUCCACGUGUAGCAGUGAAAUGCGUAGAGAUGUGGAGGAACACCAAUGGCGAAGGCAGCCCCCUGGGUCGAUACUGACGCUCAUGCACGAAAGCGUGGGUAGCAAACAGGAUUA
This 757-nucleotide ribosomal RNA is filed under the name uncultured bacterium. RNAcentral's name for it is "bacterial SSU rRNA". It matches the Rfam family "Bacterial small subunit ribosomal RNA", at positions 28 to 780 of the family's 1533-position model. The record is from RNAcentral.